Long non-coding RNA from Portunus trituberculatus (swimming crab), 555 nucleotides. RefSeq lists it as uncharacterized. The record is from RefSeq and is a predicted model, not a curated record. The transcript has 3 exons. Lineage: Eukaryota; Metazoa; Arthropoda; Malacostraca; Decapoda; Portunidae.
AAAUAUUAAUGAAAAGAUAAUGCACAGUGAGGUAGCCUCCCCUCCUCCUGCAGCUUCACUGCAUAAGGCUUUCUUCAUCCUUUCAUCCCUCCUGUCCAACCCUCUAAUAUAAGUGUUAACCGGUAUUUUUAAUGUUAAUUAUUCCAUAUUUCUUUUUUCAGAUUUUCCUCUGAAAAUGGAAAAAAAAUCAAUUUACAAGAGCAAACCCCAUCUCAAUCUCUGAGAGAGACUUAUUAAUACAGCUCAUCAGGGAUGAGAAAACUCUUGAAAACAAAAAAACGGAUGGGAAGACCAUCCUACAGAAAAGGGAGGCCUGGGCUAGAAUUACCAGGACUUUCAACUCACACAACCUUGGUUGUGUACGCUCGGAGCAUCAGCUUAAGAAAUCCUUGGCUCUGAUAUAGAGGAUAUAGGAAACCCCUAUGACCUAGAUGCCAUGCCAUCUACUGCCAAGUCACACCGACAUGGUCGGCUCAUCCGAAUUACCAAGUUUCUCUUUGGGAUUGGUAAGAAAAAUGCUUUUAUAGGAAUAAGCUAGAGACUCCAGCACCAUGG